Molecule: ribosomal RNA, 389 nt
Filed under: uncultured Chlorophyta
Lineage: Eukaryota; Viridiplantae; Chlorophyta
Description: bacterial SSU rRNA
Rfam family: Eukaryotic small subunit ribosomal RNA
Source: RNAcentral
CGCUCGCAUCGAAACGACCUGCUCUUUGAAAACUUAGAGUGAUCGAAGGGGGCUUACGCCUGAUAUUUCAGCAUGGAAUAACACUAUAGGACUCCUGUCCUAUUUCGUUGGUCUCGGGACGGGAGUAAUGAUUAAGAGGAACAGUUGGGGGCAUUCGUAUUUCAUUGUCAGAGGUGAAAUCUUGAUUUAUGAAAGACGAACUUCUGCGAAAGCAUUUGCCAAGAUGUUUUCAUUAUCAAGACGAAAGUUGGGGGUCGAAAUGAUAAAUACAUCCUAGUCUCACCAUAAACGAUGCCGACUAGGAUGCAGAGGUAAUGAUGAUCCUGCGCACUUAUGAGAAACCAAGUUUUGGGUCCGGGGGAUAGGCGCAAGCUGAAACUUAAGGAUUG